UACGGGAGGCAGCAGGUGGGGAAUAUUGCACAAUGGGCGAAAGCCUGAUGCAGCUAUGCCGCGUGUAUGAAGAAGGCCUUAGGGUUGUAAAGUACUUUCAUCGGGGAGGAAAAAACAAAACUAAUAAUUUUAUUUCUUGACGUUACCCGAAAAAGAAGCACCGGCUAACUCCGUGCCAGCAGCCGCGGUAAUACGGAGGGUGCUAGCGUUAAUCAGAAUUACUGGGCGUAAAGAGCACGUAGGUGGUUUUUUAAGUCAGAUGUGAAAUCCCUGGGCUUAACCUAGGAACUGCAUUUUGAAACUGAAAUACUAGAGUAUCGUAGAGGGAGGUAGAAUUCUAGGUGUAGCGGUGAAAUGCGUAGAUAUCUGGAGGAAUACCUGUGGCGAAAGCGGCCUCCUAAACGAAUACUGACACUGAGGUGCGAAAGCGUGGGGA
This 436-nucleotide ribosomal RNA is filed under the name uncultured bacterium. Its description in RNAcentral is "bacterial SSU rRNA". It matches the Rfam family "Bacterial small subunit ribosomal RNA", at positions 340 to 767 of the family's 1533-position model. The record is from RNAcentral.